UACGGGGGGCGCAAGCGUUGUUCGGAAUCAUUGGGCGUAAAGGGAGCCUAGGCGGCUUGGUAAGUGGGAUGUGAAAUCCCCGGGCUCACCCCGGGACCUGCAUCCCAAACUGCUGAGCUUGAGUACAGGAGAGGGUGGGGGAAUUCCAGGUGUAGCGGUGAAAUGCGUAGAUAUCUGGAGGAACACCGGUGGCGAAGGCGCGCACCUGGCCUGCUACUGACGCUGAAGCUCGAAAGCUAGGGGAGCAAACGGG
This 253-nucleotide ribosomal RNA is filed under the name uncultured bacterium. RNAcentral describes it as "partial 16S ribosomal RNA". It matches the Rfam family "Bacterial small subunit ribosomal RNA", at positions 524 to 776 of the family's 1533-position model. The record is from RNAcentral.